RNAcentral lists this ribosomal RNA (302 nucleotides) under Candidatus Thalassarchaeum sp. RNAcentral's name for it is "partial 23S ribosomal RNA". It matches the Rfam family "Archaeal large subunit ribosomal RNA", at positions 2686 to 2987 of the family's 2987-position model. The record is from RNAcentral. Lineage: Archaea; Methanobacteriati; Thermoplasmatota; Candidatus Poseidoniia; Candidatus Poseidoniales; Candidatus Thalassarchaeaceae.
CGUCGUGAGACAGGUUUGUUGCUUUGUGGUUGAGGCGUAUCAGGUGCCUGAUCGGAAGGGCCCUUUAGUACGAGAGGAACGAGGGCUCGGAGCCACUAGUUUACCAGUUGUCCGGCAGGGCAAUGCUGGGUAGCCACGCUCUACGCGGAUAAGAGCUGAAAGCAUCUAAGCUCGAAGUCGCCCGAAAGACGAGGCACCUCAGGGGACUCGUAGAAGACGAGUUUGAUAGACAGCGGGUGUAAGUACCGAGGUUCGCCGAGGUAUUCAGCCCAGCUGCACUAACCCCCCGAGCAUCCAAUUAG